This 689-nucleotide ribosomal RNA is filed under the name Shewanella decolorationis. RNAcentral describes it as "bacterial SSU rRNA". It matches the Rfam family "Bacterial small subunit ribosomal RNA", at positions 77 to 759 of the family's 1533-position model. The record is from RNAcentral. Lineage: Bacteria; Pseudomonadati; Pseudomonadota; Gammaproteobacteria; Alteromonadales; Shewanellaceae.
AGUUUACUCCUGAGGUGGCGAGCGGCGGACGGGUGAGUAAUGCCUAGGGAUCUGCCCAGUCGUGGGGGAUAACAGUUGGAAACGACUGCUAAUACCGCAUACGCCCUACGGGGGAAAGGAGGGGACCUUCGGGCCUUCCGCGAUUGGAUGAACCUAGGUGGGAUUAGCUAGUUGGUGAGGUAAUGGCUCACCAAGGCGACGAUCCCUAGCUGUUCUGAGAGGAUGAUCAGCCACACUGGGACUGAGACACGGCCCAGACUCCUACGGGAGGCAGCAGUGGGGAAUAUUGCACAAUGGGGGAAACCCUGAUGCAGCCAUGCCGCGUGUGUGAAGAAGGCCUUCGGGUUGUAAAGCACUUUCAGUAGGGAGGAAAGGUUGUAAGUUAAUACCUUGCAGCUGUGACGUUACCUACAGAAGAAGGACCGGCUAACUCCGUGCCAGCAGCCGCGGUAAUACGGAGGGUCCAAGCGUUAAUCGGAAUUACUGGGCGUAAAGCGUGCGCAGGCGGUUUGUUAAGCGAGAUGUGAAAGCCCCGGGCUCAACCUGGGAAUUGCAUUUCGAACUGGCAAACUAGAGUCUUGUAGAGGGGGGUAGAAUUCCAGGUGUAGCGGUGAAAUGCGUAGAGAUCUGGAGGAAUACCGGUGGCGAAGGCGGCCCCCUGGACAAAGACUGACGCUCAGGCACGAAAG